AUACCCGAGCCAUGAUAGAUUG
This 22-nucleotide microRNA is filed under the name Drosophila melanogaster (fruit fly). RNAcentral's name for it is "dme-miR-4954-5p". The record is from miRBase by way of RNAcentral. Lineage: Eukaryota; Metazoa; Arthropoda; Insecta; Diptera; Drosophilidae.